CUACCAUGCAGUCGAGCGGUAGAGAGGUGCUUGCACCUCUUGAGAGCGGCGGACGGGUGAGUAAUGCCUAGGAAUCUGCCUGGUAGUGGGGGAUAACGCUCGGAAACGGACGCUAAUACCGCAUACGUCCUACGGGAGAAAGCAGGGGACCUUCGGGCCUUGCGCUAUCAGAUGAGCCUAGGUCGGAUUAGCUAGUUGGUGAGGUAAUGGCUCACCAAGGCGACGAUCCGUAACUGGUCUGAGAGGAUGAUCAGUCACACUGGAACUGAGACACGGUCCAGACUCCUACGGGAGGCAGCAGUGGGGAAUAUUGGACAAUGGGCGAAAGCCUGAUCCAGCCAUGCCGCGUGUGUGAAGAAGGUCUUCGGAUUGUAAAGCACUUUAAGUUGGGAGGAAGGGCAUUAACCUAAUACGUUAGUGUUUUGACGUUACCGACAGAAUAAGCACCGGCUAACUCUGUGCCAGCAGCCGCGGUAAUACAGAGGGUGCAAGCGUUAAUCGGAAUUACUGGGCGUAAAGCGCGCGUAGGUGGUUCGUUAAGUUGGAUGUGAAAUCCCCGGGCUCAACCUGGGAACUGCAUUCAAAACUGUCGAGCUAGAGUAUGGUAGAGGGUGGUGGAAUUUCCUGUGUAGCGGUGAAAUGCGUAGAUAUAGGAAGGAACACCAGUGGCGAAGGCGACCACCUGGACUGAUACUGACACUGAGGUGCGAAAGCGUGGGGAGCAAACAGGAUUAGAUACCCUGGUAGUCCACGCCGUAAACGAUGUCAACUAGCCGUUGGGAGCCUUGAGCUCUUAGUGGCGCAGCUAAC
This 810-nucleotide ribosomal RNA is filed under the name Pseudomonas sp. EA_S_60. RNAcentral's name for it is "bacterial SSU rRNA". It matches the Rfam family "Bacterial small subunit ribosomal RNA", at positions 49 to 856 of the family's 1533-position model. The record is from RNAcentral. Lineage: Bacteria; Pseudomonadati; Pseudomonadota; Gammaproteobacteria; Pseudomonadales; Pseudomonadaceae.